Long non-coding RNA from Papaver somniferum (opium poppy), 2073 nucleotides. RefSeq lists it as uncharacterized. The record is from RefSeq and is a predicted model, not a curated record. The transcript has 7 exons. NCBI's taxonomy places the organism in Eukaryota, Viridiplantae, Streptophyta, Magnoliopsida, Ranunculales, Papaveraceae.
AAAACUGCUACUCUUCAAUAUGGCAGAGCAUUUUUCACCAUAAGGUUAGUUCGAGUCCUUGGUAGUGUGGUCUGUUUUGUUAAUGGGUUCUCCAGUUUCCUUAAAAAUUUUCUCCCUAAAAUUUCCUUAAAAUUAAAUCCCCUGAGUGGCAACCGCCCAGUAACUUCGCAUCUAGCAAAAAGAAACACGAUCUUACUUUUCUCUCGUUUCCCUCCGGCCUCCGCAUACCAAUUCCUUACCAUUUUCUCUUUCUCUAGAACACUCAAACCUCCGAGAGAAGAAUUGAACGUAGCCCACUUACAGCAUUAAAAUCUCCUCAGUCCUCUUCUUCACUCUACAUCAUUAGAAAAACUAGUGUUUCCGUUCCCAUCUCUCUUUGAAAAGGAAAACAGAAAACUAUGAAUCAAUUUCAGCAUUUCGGUUUCUGUCUAGGGUUUCAACUCCGGUAUUUCUAAUCUGAUUUUGUGUUUGAAAUUGGGAAGGAAACAAAAGUAAAGCAAGAAGAUUGAAAUAAGUUAUGCCAAGUGCAGCUCUUCAGGAAGUUGACUAGGUGUGUCAGAGGCUACGUUCAGAAGAAAAUAUAAUAUACUGCAGAUUCUGCCCCUAAAGCUGAAAAAGUUUGAGGUGCUACCGCUCUUGCAUCUUUCAUGGGAAAUUGGAUCCUAAGGCGCAACUCGAUUGAAGAUGGCCAGAAUUUACCUACCUAGCAGAGACAAUCAAACUGAGACACUAUAUUCCGAUUGCAUCAGACAAGGCUUUGGGAUAUGAAACAAUGGGAGGCCAUAAGGAAUGGUUAAUGGCCAGAAUUUAAGGUGACCAAACUUGACCUUCAAUUUUAUGCUAAAAUAAUUUUAGAUUUGUAUACUGCUACUAAUAAUAUUUGGAUGAUAUAGAAUUUAAACAGAUGGUGCUCAUUGUUUGUGGAAUUGCUAGGUACAGGUCAUAUAUACUUAUUUUUCACAAUCACCAUCGUCACCUCCACCUCUACCAUAAUGAUUUUCCAUGUUCACCGGCAUACCCUCCUUUGUUCAACACCGGUACCACCACUAUUUUCACUACCAUAUUAACCUCCAAUAGCAGAUUAGCAGACCCCUCCUCCAUUACCACCACCCUCCCUGUAACAACCAGCAUGUUCAACUCCAGCACCAUAGGCAGAAUCACUACCAGAAUCACUCCUAAAACCACCUCCACUAUCAAGGCUUGUACCAUGUUCAACUCCAACAUCACUACCAGAACAACCUCCUCUAGCAGAACCAUGCUCGCCGAGAAUGUUACAUUGAGGCUACAACUUUUUGCUGAUAAUGAGAUAAUAAGUUUUAUUGUUGGCUAACUACCUUGCGAUGCAGUAAGAUUGAGUUGAUUAACACCUGUUUGUUUUCUUAAGGUCUACCAUCUCUCGAUGUUCUUUUGUUGAUCAAAUUUUUAGAUGCUAGUUUUCAUUUGCUUUGCAGGACAUGUCCCAUGAAUGGACUGCUGGAGUAGAUGUACUAUGUUAUAAGUUGUCGUGUGCCAUGCAUUGGUGUUCAUCUACCUAGUGUGAGGGUUUAAUUAGAAUCUAAUGUAUAUUAUUUGUUAUUGUGUGAACUUGAGCCUUCAAAAGGUACUGUGACAGGAUUCUCAUGGGGGUUACGGCAAGAACUGACAAAAUCAUGAAAAGGAUCGCGGGACGGAUGCCUAACAAAAAUACAUUCAAGUGGUCCUAUUUCAUUUUGUUUUCCACAAGGAAGUCUGUGUACCAAUUACGAUGAAGUAGAAAUCACCGAAGUAUGAAGAAAAAGGAUAAACUAUGUGCGACCAUUAGUAACAUGAUACCGCAGGAUUGUCGAUCCAGAACUGGGAAAUGUUAUAAACUGGUUAGAUUCCAGGCAACUUCGUCAAAACAUGGAUAUGGUUUUCCAUUUCAUUGCUAAUUUCUUUUUAGUCAGUACUAAGAAUAAUUUUACACAGUUUACUGAAUCAUGUCGUACAGUAAUACUGAAUCAUGUCGUACAGUAACUUAGAAUUAACUUAUUUGGUUGGGAAUUUCUGUAUUACUUAUUGAUUAAAUCAAUUGAAACACUAUUUCUUUCGUAA